This 492-nucleotide ribosomal RNA is filed under the name uncultured bacterium. Its description in RNAcentral is "partial 16S ribosomal RNA". It matches the Rfam family "Bacterial small subunit ribosomal RNA", at positions 29 to 507 of the family's 1533-position model. The record is from RNAcentral.
AGUGAACGCUGGCGGUAGGCCUAACACAUGCAAGUCGAACGGCAGCACAGUAAGAGCUUGCUCUUACGGGUGGCGAGUGGCGGACGGGUGAGGAAUACAUCGGGAUCUACUUUUUCGUGGGGGAUAACGUAGGGAAACUUACGCUAAUACCGCAUACGACCUACGGGUGAAAGCAGGGGAUCUUCGGACCUUGCGCGAUUGAAUGAGCCGAUGUCGGAUUAGCUAGUUGGCGGGGUAAAGGCCCACCAAGGCGACGAUCCGUAGCUGGUCUGAGAGGAUGAUCAGCCACACUGGAACUGAGACACGGUCCAGACUCCUACGGGAGGCAGCAGUGGGGAAUAUUGGACAAUGGGCGCAAGCCUGAUCCAGCCAUACCGCGUGGGUGAAGAAGGCCUUCGGGUUGUAAAGCCCUUUUGUUGGGAAAGAAAAGCAGCAGGUUAAUACCCCGAUGUUCUGACGGUACCCAAAGAAUAAGCACCGGCUAACUUCGUG